UAAUCUGUUUAGGACAGAUCUUCAUCUAGUUGUUGUAAACUCAUACUUGACUGUUGUGAUCACCCGUUAUUGCAAACCCGAUUACAUCAUUGACCUAAAAAACAGAAGACAAUUAUUGCGUAAAUAAUAUUUUUUUUAGAUU
Molecule: non-coding RNA, 142 nt
Organism: Populus trichocarpa (black cottonwood)
Lineage: Eukaryota; Viridiplantae; Streptophyta; Magnoliopsida; Malpighiales; Salicaceae
Source: Rfam